RNAcentral lists this ribosomal RNA (460 nucleotides) under uncultured bacterium. RNAcentral's name for it is "partial 16S ribosomal RNA". It matches the Rfam family "Bacterial small subunit ribosomal RNA", at positions 338 to 795 of the family's 1533-position model. The record is from RNAcentral.
CCUACGGGUGGCAGCAGUGAGGAAUAUUGGUCAAUGGACGAGAGUCUGAACCAGCCAAGUAGCGUGAAGGAUGACUGCCCUAUGGGUUGUAAACUUCUUUUAUAAAGGAAUAAAACGAGGCACGUGUGCCUUUUUGUAUGUACUUUAUGAAUAAGGAUCGGCUAACUCCGUGCCAGCAGCCGCGGUAAUACGGAGGAUCCGAGCGUUAUCCGGAUUUAUUGGGUUUAAAGGGAGCGUAGAUGGGUUGUUAGGUCAGUUGUGAAAGUUUGCGGCUCAACCGUAAAAUUGCAAUUGAUACUGGCAGUCUUGAGUACAGUUGAGGUAGGCGGAAUUCGUGGUGUAGCGGUGAAAUGCUUAGAUAUCACGAAGAACCCCGAUUGCGAAGGCAGCUUACUAAACUGUGACUGACAUUGAUGCUCGAAAGUGUGGGUAUCAAACAGGAUUAGAUACCCUAGUAGUC